GCGGCGGCGGGCGAGGCCGGGACCGCUCGGAGGCGGCUGAGAUCCGACAGGUGACGGGGCCGGAGCGGGGCCGCCUCCUCACGACUGCCGGGCGGCAGCGGCAGGUCCGUGGCCGUUGGAAUGAUGCAGCAGGAAAAGCCCUGGGCUCGUGUUACGCACCGUCAUUCAUGUCCCGGCACAACGCCAUCGCUGGGCUGUAGCAGCUUCAGCAAGGUUUGAAUCCAGCACAGAGGUAGGACGCCCAGCUGGGAGCUGUUCCAUAUUACUUUCCUUCUUUUCUCUUUAAUUCUUUCCAUGGGAAAAGAAAUCCUAGUCGUUUCCCCGUUCUCAUUAAACCAGCUUCUAGCUAAGAGCAUCCCUGAGUUUGCUUCAGCUGAACAGGUUCACUGCCAAACCUUUUUUUCUAAGUGCAUCGAUUGGACUAGACUACCAUCCAUUGCUUGUACAAAAGUGAGUUGUUUUGUUGGGUUUUUUUAAUGAGGAGGCUGGGUUUGGUCCUUUUUAGCAGUGAUGCAAUGGUGUUUCUAGGUCAGGUCUUUCUGUGCAGUCACAUGAAGUUCCAAUUUGGACAGAACGCCCAGUGAGGGUCUUAAUGUUUGAUGCUGUUACGAUUCGAAUGUUGUCUUAUCAAAUUUUAUUUCCAAUUAAAAGAAUUGGAUUAGCUCUCAGACUGAGACCUUUGGUGUUAUUUUUAGCCUACAACUAAUGAACCCCCGAAAAUAGAGCCUAUCAUACACAUACAGCAAUUGGUUCUGCUGGAACGGUUAGGGAAAUACAUCAGCAGAUCAGAAAGGGUAAUAAAUCUUCUGUCACAACCUUCCUCAUUAAGGGAGAUAAUUUGAAAUUGCCUCUAGUGUAUUAAACAGCUCAUUAUUUUUUAGGGGGGGCAACACACGAGACAAAAGAGUAGUGUUCUUUUAAUUGAUAUCCAAAGCCUGAAUCCAGCAAAUUCACUCAAGAAAAAUCAGCCUGAGCUGCGUGGCCAUACAGCUUGGCCAGAGCCACCCAAGCCUUCAUCUCCUCUCUCUUAGGGAAGGAGGAAAGGUCUCCUGAAAAUACUGCAGGGUUGAUGGGGGGUUGGGGAAAGGGCAGAGCCCUACUGUGUUUGCCACGGAGUGCCUCUCCACCAACACAGCUGCAAAAUCACAGAGGUAAUUUAGGGCUCGUGGAUAUUUGUCUGGUUGUAAUAGGACAAGCCCCAGAACUUAGUUUCUCUACUUUAUCUGCACCCCAGUGUUAUUCCCGAGGCAUCUAAUAAAUCAAGUAAGCCAAGGGUACCUCCGUGGCAGCACGUCUGUGGGAGCACAAAGGGAACUUGAGUGGGAAACUGCAGCGAGAAAGGGGAAUUUGGGGUGUCAGCUGAACUGAGGGAUGGAACCCGUGCCAGGGUACAGCAGAAACAUUCUUCUGUGUGCAUGACCACGAGCUCUCUCAGUAAAAAUGGGACAACACCACCCUCGUGGUUUUGGUGGAGAACAUCACUGCCUCAACUUUAGCCUUCCCUGAAAUUCCUCACUUCCCAGGACACUUGUGACCUGACAAGCUGCAUGCUAAGGACAAGCUGGAGGGUUUUCUUCACUGUAUCUCUACAGUAAAAAGAUGCUGGCACUAGACCAGAAGAUGCCUGAGAUCUGGCUGCCAUCAGGGGAGCGCCAGGUUGGCGCGUGGGACAUCCUGUCAUUUUUAUCCUGUCAUUUCUACAUGCUCAGAGCCAAAUUGCAUCUUGGUGUAAUGCUGCUGGCCCUUGUACACAAGUCAUCUUGAUCCCGUGCCCAAAAGGAGGGCAAAUGUGAAGGGAAAAUAGGAGAAUAUUGUACUGGAGAAGAUGGACUGAAAGGUGGGUAUUGCUCUUCCUUUAGUAGCAAAAGCACAAGUAAAUAAUUCCUCGCUGUAUUGGACACAUUCCUUUAUUGUGAUUCCAGGCGGGGAAGGGAAAGGGACAUUUGUUAUCGCACAGACAACAUAUGGCAUUAGCAAAUAACACACGGUGUUGUAGCAGCUGAAAACACAGCUGAGUAUAUCUUAACCCCCUUAACCUGAAAAGCACAGUGGUAAGAAGUCAAGCAAAAAGGUCUGUGCCUCUUUCCGCUUCAUACUGGCUGCAGUACCGCCACCCACAUCCAAAGCCAAAGUUCUUUCAUUUCGUUUCUUGGCCAGAAAACUGAUCCUUCAGCUUCAUCGUAUCCAUAUUCUGAUACAAUACCUUCAUAAUGUCUUCUCUAUUUCGAUAUAAAGCACAACACUGGCCAAGCAUCCAUGCAGCCAAGUACCGGUGAGCGCUGGUAAAUGCCUGAGGGACAGUCACACAGAUAAUGGAAGCAGACCAUAAUUGCCUUGUCUCUACCAAAAUCAGCAUUAGCAAUAGCACUGUUACUAAACCAUUCCAAAAGAGGCACUAGAUGCUGGUGGUUCUACUAUUUAAAUGUGGCCGUAGUUGUGAAUUUCCAGCAGUGGGGACAAUCACUGCAGAGAACUGGCUGCAACGUGGUGAAUGAAUGAAGUACCCCGCCACACAUGCCUACUUACCUCAUGGGCCAAUGGCAGCUUAUUUUUAAUCACGAAAACACAUUUCAGCAGGCAUACCAUCUGUAUUUCAUCUAAAAGAGGAGCAGUUUUUAGCAAUCCCAGGCCUAAGUACGACGCAAGCUGUUCAAUCUUUGCAGACAGGGAGAGUCCAUUCAUUUCUCCUGCGCUUCAGCGCAAUCCUUUCCGAGUCUGAUCCCGCAGUCCUCACCACCUCCUUGUUCCUUAGAAACUGCUUAUGCGAUUCAUUCUGUGUUCAUAGGUUAUAACAGCAACGUGCUUCUUGUUUUUGCUGCCUGUCUCUUCAUUAAACCUGUGGUUCACACUGCGGGGCCGGGGAAACUCCUGUUUAGGGAGUUGCUUCUUUCUUGUAUUUUGGCAGCACAUUUUGUUGUUUGCUCGGAAUGUGUUUAGCUGAAGGAGGGCUGAGGGAGGGGUGUGAAGCAGUCCGGGAUGAGACUGGUUUUCUCAGGUUGCCAACCAGCCUGGACCUCGGGUCACUGAGCCGAAAUACUACUGAGAAAGAGUCAUUUGUCUUCAUUAUUUGUGUCACAACAGUGGCUCGAUGCUAUUACCUCGUUGUUCAGGAUGCUGGAAACUAAAGCAAGGAGAUGCUCCACGUCCCAAAGAACGUCAGGUCUGAGCCUAAAAUAGGCUCAGGAAUACAGCAGCGGUGGCCAAGGGAGGGAGUUCUGCAGCACUGGCAUUAACCAAGCGUGGGGCAGCAGUCACGGGGUGUGGAAUUAAAGGACAGGAAUUUCCUGGAGGAGGAGAAGGAACUGCUGCCAAGCUGGGCGAAGGCAGGCCGAGCUGGGAAGGCAGGCAGAUGUGGCAAUGGGCUGUGCUGCAGGCAGCCUGCAAGCACCCCUUCUGCUCAGCCGCCUCCAGCAGUGCCCAGGGAGCACAAAGCAGCACAGCCACUGCGUCCCCUUCCUUGGGUGCCACGAUGCUGCUCCAGCAGCCCAGCGUGUUCUGUGAGGCACUUUAUCCCAGCAGUCUGUGCCUUUCCUUUGAAAUGGCUGCCUGUGUGGAGUGGUUCUGCUAAUUCAGCUUGCUGGGAAGGGGAGAUUCUGGCAUAACACGGAAUCACAACACAAACCCACACUGCCCGGAGCUACAGGAGAGGUCUGGCAGGAGAACAGCAGCCUGGCUGCAAGUAUCACUCGGUGCAGUUUGGAUGCACAACUUCCAUGAACAAAACCCAGUGCUGGAUGAAUUGGUGUUUUUUUUUCCCCCCUUUUUUCCCCUCUCCUUUGCCCUGCUCCUGUGGAAACUGCACAGGGAACCCUUUGCCAUGACAAAACCAUCACCCAACACACUGCUCGUCACAAGACUCUCAUACAAAGCUCCAACAUCAGUGAGGAAACUUUGACUGAAAUGAACUUUGCAUCAGGCUCGUUCCAAACCCUCCGUUAUCUCACUUCCAAUUUAUCACUCAGAUGUCUGUAAUUCUCCCCGGAGAGACUUUCUAGUAUUUAAACAGCUACUACCCUGCAUAAUUUCUUCCUGUUUUCAGAAGAGAAAUAGAGGAACUGUGAAAUCAUGCUGAAUGCCUCAAGAGCCCAAAGAGCAGAGAUUCUUCAUUGAAUUUGCCACAUUCAUUAUCAGCUGAGGAUGUGACUGGAGAGAACUCCAAGGUUUACAAGUUCAGAAGUAGGUGUUUCUUUUCUUUUCAUCCGGACUUCAAUUCAUUCCAGCCGUAUUUGCACUUUAAAGGAGCUCUGUCAGACAAGAAAAACAUUUCAAGUCACUUUUAUUUAUAGGAAUCCUUCAGACUUUGGUGGCUAUUGACUCGACAAAUCCAUCUGACCUCAAGUAUCACUGCAGAAAUGUUUUUGCGGCGGGUUUAUUAGCUCAGAAGUCUUUCCCAGGCUAAGCUUUUUUCCAGCAGUGCCCUUCCAGCAGGCUGGUGGAAAAAACAAGACCCAAAGAAGGAAGUGGAUUCUUAGCAGCGGUCAUGCAGACUGUUUUAUUCUCAUGGCCGUUUUUGCACGGCAUUAGCAACUCAAAGGCACCAGUUCAGCACGGCACUUCAGCUAUUUGCUGAAUCAGGGGCUGAAAGCUCAAGAGAAAGAGGAGGAGGAAGGACAUGGGUGUUAUUCCCACGGAUUUUCGCAGAGCGUUAAACGACUGUUAGCUGAGCAACAAGAAUUUACCCUAUUGCAGCUGCAGUGGAUGAGAUCUGUGCUCUUUUGAAGGGGCAGCCUGAAACUAACACGACAACAAGUCAUCAAGUCCCUAUCUUCAGUGAGGGAGAAGGAAGUCAGAUUCCAAACUUCAGUCCUCUUUGAAGCUGCUUUUUUUCGCCUCCAACUCCACACAAUUUAUUCUUCUUGAUCAAUCUCUUGUUUGUGUUUCCCUGGUCCAUCACUGUGUGGGACAUCCAGCUAACAGAACGCUCGUGUUACUGCUGGAAAAAGCUAAAACACUGCACCACAGCAAAACGGCUCCUAGCAGAGUAACUUUCUUGAUAGCCACGAUGUGAGGAUGGAGGAAAUGAUACAUGGCAUGAUAUUUCUCUGCCGUGGGUCCCACUGUAUCAGUGCUGUAAGAAGUACUGAUGUCGGUGGGGAAGGCACUGCGCUCUCUCAGCUGCUCCAUGUAUCUGGUAAAUGUUCAGCCUGGUUCGUCAUGGCAGCACUGGGGGAAAUACCCCGACUAUGAGAGACAGCAAGUGAACAUCAACCUGGUCUUCAUUUGGAGGGUUUGGGUCAGGUGGUUGAGUUCUGUUGUGCUGCUAAAAUAGAAGGGCACUCCCAGAUGCACGAGUAGAGCAGGAGGCAGAGGAGCCAGCCUCCAAACCUCAUGCAAAGAGAAGAAGAAGCUCAGCUCACACUGACUGCAUCAGAUCUGGAUGUAGCCCUUCAUACACGAUAUCUUGCACAGAACAGUAAUUCAUCACACGCCCUUCAGUAGCACCUUUGUCCUAUCAGUAACUUACUGAGCCCUCCCAAGCCCAAAUGAUCCUUAUGUGCAUCGUUCCCUGAAUUACUACAAGCCAUUUGACUGUAAAUGGGUUCUUUGGCACCAAUCAGCAGAUCGUUGACCUUAGCAGUAUGAUUAUGCCAUCAAUACGCAUCUGAAGCAGAGACAUGAGUGACUUGGUAUUGAACGAUUAAUUUCACAUAUGGAAAUGCAUGUGAAAGGGGUCGUGCAAAACUGGAGAUCUCAAAGGCCCCCAGAGGGAUUGCAGAGGAAGUGCAGAGUGCCAGAUGGAGAAAAAGAGCCUGAGCACAGAAGCAUCUCUUGAUGAACACACGGAUCCCAAGUGCUUUGCACAGAAAGAUAAAACGAGGCACGAAUAUAUGGCCACAAAUGGCAUGGCAGGGCGGUGGUGAAAAACGCAGUGAUGGAGCUUUAGCAAUCCAGGCAUGUUCUUCCUGCUUGGAGCUGCUCACAUGGUUGCAGAGAUGAUCAGCGGACAUGCCAUGGCAGGAGCAAUACCUUUAAUUUAGUGAUGGCCUAAGAAAAGUUUUCCAGCUUGUCUCCACUGCAGCAAGCACUUGAAAAUGUGAUCCUCCAGAGAAUGAAGGGGCCAUGAUUUCAUAUUAUCAUCUGUCAGCGGGAUCUGAGGCUGAAAGCCAAGCAGCAAAUGGCACGAAACUCAUUGAGAGACUGAGGAUUGCAACACCAGACAGAACACAAAGUCAGCCAUUGGGCAGGGGGAGGGGAGAACAGAAACAGAAUUGAGAAAGGCCUGGAGCCAUGAGGAAGGGAGAGGGUUUGGGCCUCUUUGGGAGAAGAGAAGUCAGGUGGGUUUCACUGAUGUCACACAGAGAGGAAUUUUCUAAUUCCUAUUCACUGAAGAACAAGUGAAGAGAACUCUCUACUGCCGCCAGCCACAGUCAGCAGCUCUGAACUGUGAAAACAAGCUCACAUGGUGGCUUGAUGUACGAUCAAGGCUCUACACAUCCACCACUGUGCAAAGAAAACGUACCCCAGAAAUUCACUCCUUGUCACAGAACACCCAUACUGGAACCUAAGUGCCUGUCCAAGUGCCUCUAAUGACAGUUCACCUGCUCAUAAUUUCACAACAAGCAAGCAGCAAUGCUUCCUUUCCAGCUCAAUCCAGUUUAUCUCAUCUUCUCAAUGGGGUGCAUUUGCCAUCCCCACGCACUUUGAACCAGUCCUAUGAUUUUAUCUUCAUGGCAACAACCUUCUGCCUUGAGAAGGAGCGCUUAUUAACUAGAGACAGCGUCAUUUUCAAAGUGAUUUAUUUUAUGAGGGCUUUGAAAUAAAUUAUCAGUCGGUGAUUGGCCACAGGGGAAAGCAUAUAAAAGCUUACCACGUGCACUGAACAUACCAUCUGGAAUCCUUUAAAAUCGAGCUUCAGGGUGGCUCAGCUCAUUCUUCCGAGUGCAUAAUGUUCACAGUGUACACUGAAGCAUGAAUAUAAAAGCGGAGUGACAUAACCCAGAGAGAACCAACACUGCAACUGAAGCUUUCUAUCUCGGAUCUCGCUGUUCCAGCCCAUCGUCAUCCCUGCAGGCAUUCAAGGCCAGGCUGGAUGUGGCUCUGGGCAGCCUGGGCUGCUGGUUGGUGUCCUUCUCAUAGCAGGGGGUUGGAGCUGGAUGAGCAUUGUGCUCCUUUGCAAGCCAGGCCAUUCUAGGAUUCUAUGAUCAAAGGCUGGCAUUUUCUUCACUAAGACUGAUGUCACAGUCCAUCAUUUUAAUCCUAUUAAAAAGAAAAAAGAAAAAAAAAAAAAGAAAAAAACCCCACAAAACAAAUCCUUUCACUUUCCAGUUAGGUGAAAAAGGGACGCCUCUGCCAUGUGUCGGAUUUCCACCUUCUGACUGGCUGCUGUAAAAGCAGAAGGUACAAAAUCCAUACUGUUGUUGUUCCUCUGGAUUUACUGCCUGUGGCAUGCACUGCCCUCUGGGUGCAAUAAAGUUUCCCAACUGUAAUGUUUGUCACAUUUCAAAACCUCUGUUAUUGUCCCUGCAAAGUACUAAAUCUGACAGGCUGGAAAGUUAUGAAGUGAAAUCCAGUGUCAUGUAAGCAAGAAUCCAACAGGAGAGAUCCGGAUGCUCACACUGCCUACACCAUUGCAUUCUCAGCCCACCUGAGAUCAGCCUGCUGGUGAAUCGUACCAUAUUGCUUGUAGUACAGAAUAACAGACCUACUUUCGGUAUGGUCUGUUGCUCUCAGGCUCACAGUUCGGCCUUUGAAAGACAAAAGGGAUCCUGAUCCAUUGAGAAGGCAGCUCACUCAUACAGCUGGGGAGGGCACAGUGCAUGGGGGGUUACAGAGCAGACAGAUGCUCCCACUUGGCGAAAGGACAACGAAUCCCAAGUCACAGCAAGGGAAAGUCUGACUAUUACAGGGCAUAAUGGUGGUAUUCACUGUGCUGGUGUGUAAGGACUGCACUGAUAUCCAGAGAUGUCGUGCAAUCUCUCUCUUUGGAGACGCUCAAAACCCAACAGGCCAAGGUUCAAAGCUGGCCCUGUUUUGAACAGGAGGUUACAGCACUGCUGCUUUGCAGCCCAAAUGUUUAUAUGAUAAAAAACAGUGGCCCAGGUUUGUAAUGCAGAGGCAACAGCGCAGGCCCUACGAUGCAGAGCUGCUCUCACAGAGGCACAAAACUCCCUUUCUGAAUAACUGAAAUAAUCCCACAGCGGGACUCAAAAUGGACUGAUGGAAAACAACGCUUCUUACAAUUCGGAGCCAAUUUUUUUACACACAGCUUCCAUUGUCUUCCCUAAGAAUUGCAUGCAGGCUCUGAACUUGUAAUUUCAUCCCAACUUUUUUUUCUUUUUCUUUUCCCACUGCACAGUUUGGAGCGUGUUGCAAUGUCUUCCAAUGGGACGCAGCCAGGGCUGUGCGUUAGAGCCUCCAAGCACUGCUCCUGGCACGACCAUGGGUCGGUGGCAUGCAAGGGAGACACGGAGCC
Molecule: RNA transcript, 8413 nt
Organism: Lagopus muta (rock ptarmigan)
Lineage: Eukaryota; Metazoa; Chordata; Aves; Galliformes; Phasianidae
Gene: SOCS4
Gene name: suppressor of cytokine signaling 4
Exons: 2
Source: RefSeq, a predicted model, not a curated record